RNAcentral lists this ribosomal RNA (576 nucleotides) under Bufo bufo (common toad). RNAcentral describes it as "partial 16S ribosomal RNA". The stretch from base 1 to 414 matches the Rfam family "Bacterial large subunit ribosomal RNA", at positions 703 to 1296 of the family's 2925-position model. The record is from RNAcentral. Lineage: Eukaryota; Metazoa; Chordata; Amphibia; Anura; Bufonidae.
AAGUUUGACUUCCCGAAACUAAGUGAGCUACUUCAGGGCAGCUAGAAGAGCAAACCCGUCUCUGUAGCAAAAGAGUGGGACGACCCUCAAGUAGUGGUGACAGACCUAACGAACUUAGUGAUAGCUGGUUACUCAAGAAACGGAUUUAAGUCCAACCUGAAAGUUUUAUAACCUAAGUCCAUCAAAACAAUCACCUAGCUUUCAGCGUAAUUCAAAUAAGGUACAGCCUAUUUGAAACAGGAUACAACCUAGCCUAAUGGAUAAGAUCAGCCUAACAUACAAUCAAGUGGGCCUAAAAGCAGCCACCUUUAAUACAGCGUCAAAGCUAAAUUGUAACCGAGCCCAAUUACUUAACCCAUAUCUUAAUCCCCUGCCAAUACUGAGUAAUUCUAUAAUAUUAUAGAAAUUUUUAUGUUAAAACUAGUAACAAGAAGAAGAUUCUUCUCUUAAAUGUACAUAUAAAUCAGAAAAGACAAGCUACUGAUACUUAACACCUCUGAGCAUAAAGUAGUAACUAACCAAGAAAACUCUACUUUUACUGGUGUUAAUCUAACACAAGAACAUUCUAAGAAAGAU